AAGUCGUAACAAGGUUUCCGUAGGUGAACCUGCGGAAGGAUCAUUAGUGAUUGCCAUCUUGGCUUAAACUAUAUCCAUCUACGCCUGUGAACCGUUUGAUUGAAUCUUCUGAUUCAAUUUUACAAACAUUGUGUAAUGAACGUCAUUAGAUCAUAACAAAAAAAAACUUUUAACAACGGAUCUCUUGGCUCUCGCAUCGAUGAAGAACGCAGCGAAAUGCGAUAAGUAAUGUGAAUUGCAGAAUUCAGUGAAUCAUUGAAUCUUUGAACGCAACUUGCGCUCUCUGGUAUUCCGGAGAGCAUGCCUGUUUGAGUGUCAUGAAAUCUCAACCAUUAGGGUUUCUUAAUGGCUUGGAUUUGGAGGUUGCCAUUCUAAAUGGCUCCUCUUAAAGGAGUUAGCAAGUUUCACUAUUGCUAUCUGGCGUAAUAAGUUUCGCUGGAAUGGUAUUGUGAAGCGUGCUUCUAAUCGUCUUCGGACAAUUACUUUGACUCUGGCCUCAAACCAGGUAGGACUACCCGCUGAACUUAA
RNAcentral lists this ribosomal RNA (528 nucleotides) under uncultured fungus. Its description in RNAcentral is "eukaryotic LSU rRNA". The stretch from base 165 to 318 matches the Rfam family "5.8S ribosomal RNA". The record is from RNAcentral. Lineage: Eukaryota; Fungi.